UUCUUUCGCACCGCGCCUCCCCUAAAGUGCUCUGGCGCCCUCUAGGGGAGGCGCGCCUCACACUUUGAAAACCGCCGGUCUACACUAUUAUUACUGUUUUGUUUU
Molecule: long non-coding RNA, 105 nt
Organism: Xiphophorus couchianus (Monterrey platyfish)
Lineage: Eukaryota; Metazoa; Chordata; Actinopteri; Cyprinodontiformes; Poeciliidae
Exons: 4
Source: RefSeq, a predicted model, not a curated record